GAUGAACGCUGGCGGCGUGCCUAAUACAUGCAAGUCGAGCGAACAGAUGAGGAGCUUGCUCCUCUGACGUUAGCGGCGGACGGGUGAGUAACACGUGGAUAACCUACCUAUAAGACUGGGAUAACUUCGGGAAACCGGAGCUAAUACCGGAUAAUAUAUUGAACCGCAUGGUUCAAUAGUGAAAGACGGUUUUGCUGUCACUUAAAGAUGGAUCCGCGCCGCAUUAGCUAGUUGGUAAGGUAACGGCUUACCAAGGCAACGAUGCGUAGCCGACCUGAGAGGGUGAUCGGCCACACUGGAACUGAGACACGGUCCAGACUCCUACGGGAGGCAGCAGUAGGGAAUCUUCCGCAAUGGGCGAAAGCCUGACGGAGCAACGCCGCGUGAGUGAUGAAGGUCUUCGGAUCGUAAAACUCUGUUAUUAGGGAAGAACAAAUGUGUAAGUAACUAUGCACGUCUUGACGGUACCUAAUCAGAAAGCCACGGCUAACUACGUG
RNAcentral lists this ribosomal RNA (497 nucleotides) under uncultured bacterium. RNAcentral's name for it is "partial 16S ribosomal RNA". It matches the Rfam family "Bacterial small subunit ribosomal RNA", at positions 28 to 507 of the family's 1533-position model. The record is from RNAcentral.